This 268-nucleotide ribosomal RNA is filed under the name uncultured bacterium. Its description in RNAcentral is "partial 16S ribosomal RNA". The record is from RNAcentral.
CUGCUGCCUUCCGUAGGAGUUUGGACCGUGUCUCAGUUCCAAUGUGGGGGACCUUCCUCUCAGAACCCCUAUCCAUCGUCGUCUUGGUGGGCCGUUACCCCGCCAACUAACUAAUGGAACGCAUCCCCAUCGAUAACCGAAAUUCUUUAAUAUCAAGAUCAUGCGAUCUUGAUAUCCUAUCGGAUAUUAAUCUUUCUUUCGGAAGGCUAUCCCCGAGUUAUCGGCAGGUUGGAUACGUGUUACUCACCCGUGCGCCGGUCGCCAUCGG